CCUAGUCACCUGGUGCUAAAAGCAAAUGCCUCGGUUGUUGAGAAGUAUGACAUCCAUGGAGCAUGCGUGAUCACGCUUACAUUUGAACUGAGGUAUGUGAAUUUCUUGAUAUUCUACGUCUGAAAAUCAGGUAUGUGAAUUUCUAUUUCUUAAGGUUAAUAUUUUCUGUUGUUUAUAAAAUUCUUUACCUUGUGUACCCAUUCUCGACAAGUAGCAAACAAACUUACAUAGGUCUUCUAACAUCGCCUUUUUAUCUUUCUUCGCAUGCAGUUGUUCUCGGGUUUCUGAAGAUCGUCAUAAGAGUUUCAGGUUAUUCUUUAGUUCCCUUUGCAGUUUUUAUGCAGUUGUCGGGGCUUUUGUCUGUUUUCUUCAAGUGUAGCCGUGUUACCAUGUAGAUGACUAGGUGACAGGAAUUUUAUUUUUGAAGAUCGUAUAGCUGGUUGGGGUUGUCAUUUCUAUUUUGAUUAAUUUAUAUACGAUGUUUACAUUGUUGAAAGAGCAAACUAUUUUUUC
Camelina sativa (false flax) is the source of this 513-nucleotide non-coding RNA. Lineage: Eukaryota; Viridiplantae; Streptophyta; Magnoliopsida; Brassicales; Brassicaceae. The record is from RefSeq and is a predicted model, not a curated record.